This 306-nucleotide ribosomal RNA is filed under the name Triticum aestivum (bread wheat). RNAcentral describes it as "partial small subunit ribosomal RNA". The record is from RNAcentral. Lineage: Eukaryota; Viridiplantae; Streptophyta; Magnoliopsida; Poales; Poaceae.
AUGGUAGUUUGUACAGCUGAAAUUCAUGGUUUUGCUAACAUUCAUUCAUAUCUCCCGCUGCUCUCUGCACAGCUACCUUAUUCGUAUAUUCUACACAGAAGCAUAAAGCAGACACCAAAAAAGAAUAUUAAAUUGGGGAAAUCAACAUGGCUCAGACAUCCAAGGAAGGAAUUAGCAGCAUUAGCUCUCAAGCCUGGUAGGGCGAAAGCUCUUAGACGGCAACUGCGAAUGUUUUCAGAAACAAGCCUAAAUUUUAUCAUCAUCGCCAAUGAUUUACCCAAAUUUCAAAUCACCUACAGCAACUAG